RNAcentral lists this long non-coding RNA (8196 nucleotides) under Ananas comosus (pineapple). RNAcentral's name for it is "long non-coding RNA (ACOM_LNC033561)". Lineage: Eukaryota; Viridiplantae; Streptophyta; Magnoliopsida; Poales; Bromeliaceae. The record is from RNAcentral.
AAUUCAAUUAUAGGGAUAAUAUUAUUAUUUUCUAUUUAUAACUACCAACUAUUCCUCUUAUUCCCAAAAACCAUCCAAACACAAUUUUUCUAGUUCCAGCUUAUACUCACAAUUUCAUCCAAACAAAAAAAUACCCUUAUUUCUACAAAAACUCAUGCUUGUACCUAUCCCCGGUAUAACUAGUUCCUACUAAUUCCCGAUCCAAACGGAGCCUUAGUGGGUGAGCCGUUGAGGUCGGUAGCGGUUCCCACUGAGAGCUACUUCUUUUUGCAAUAGUUCUCACACCCAGUUGUUUACCCCUUUUUGCAGAGCAUUCAUCUGCGGCUGCUGCUGUUACAGAUUCUAAUCGUGGAAAGGGAGUUGCGAGCUAGAUCCUUUCUAGUCUUACUACAGUGCUAGAGGAGUACAUUCCAUAGGUAGUUUUGGGGUAUUUUUGUACAUAUGGUUGUUGUCUGUGUACUCGCUGGAGCGAGUGGUGUAGUAGACAUUUUGUAUGUACUGGAACCCCUCGAGGUUUUUAUAUAUGUAUGUUUUCAGUUUAGCCGCUCUCUACCUUGUGGUUGUAGCUUGGUUAUGUUUACAAGUACAGCUAUCGCUUCGUAUACAGAAAAAAUUUCUAUAUAUACGGCGGGUCUGUUGGCAUGCCCGAAAAAAUGUGUAAUCCGGGGCGUGACAGAUUAAGUUGGUAUCAGAGUUUAGCGUUAGGUCGUUGGGACCUAGAAAACCUUAAGCUUGGCAAACCUCAGAAAAGCAAGACGUGAGAGGCAUGAUUUAUCGCGAAAGUCAGCGAUUGAAUUGUUUUAACUCCUCCUAGAGUGGAGUGAGUGACUGAAGGAGUGUCUGUUUCGGCCAAGAAAAUUAUGUCGACUGCAGACGACAUAUUUUGAGGAGAAAUAGGGGCGGCCUUCUAAACUUUCGCUUGAUUGGGUCGAGAGUUGAUUGUGUUUUGUGUCUGACCCUUGUUUUGAUUUCAGGUAGCCAUGUAUCGAUGCCGAGGUCGACCGUCGACACGGGAUCGUUCCGCGCUAUCAGAGAUGCUUGGGCAGGCAAGGUCGAGUGCACCCACAGAUUUGAGAGAGCAGUUGACUGCCCUGACUAAGGUGAUCAGGCAGUAGGGUGUGCUUUUGCAGAGGAUGUGCGAGAUUGUUACUUAGCGGUCGGGUGUUAAUCCAAGAGCAUCUGUGCAGCAGGCACUCUGGGAAGAGCAAGGAGCUAUAGCAGUUCAGGAGCCGUCAACGGUGCCAAUGCAGAGAUAGGAUAGAAAGUGCCCGGUUCUGGAUUAUGGAGAUCCUUUCAGUGGUAGACGUUCACCGAGGUCUCCACAAUCGUGCUCUCAGGGUCGUGGAUUCUCAUCACGACAGCGCUCUGGUGGGUCUUGUCCGCAGCGACAGCAGCAUAGGGUUCCACGGUGUAGCAUUUUUGGGGGACCAUACUGGCCUCGAUGGUGCGAGCAGAAGGAGGGCCGGUGUUUUAGAUGUGGACAAUCAGGGCAUCGACGGGUGGCUUGUCCUCGCGUAGCAUCGUCAGCACUUUCGACGGGGUCGGCCCCACUGGUAUCUUACUAGGCUUUUGAAAUACCGCCGAGCUACAGACAUGCAGAUGGAGUUGCUGUGCUGCAGCAAAGUGAGCAGCGAGAGCAGACAUCAAGUGGUAGCAGGUAUCAUUUUGAUUUCUAGUAUCUGGGUUCAUGCAUUAGUUGAUACCUGUGCAUCUCAUUCUUUUGCUAGUUAAGCAUUUGCAUCAUUGCAUGGUUUUGAGAUAGGGCCACUGUUGCAUGCAUGUGAGGUGCAAAUUCCUGAUCAUGGUUUGUAGGUGGCCGAGUGUUGUUGGUUUUGUCUAGUGAGAUUGGGCUUUUUGAUUUUGCCUACAGACCGGUUAGUCUUGGGGCAGUGUAGGACUUUUAUGUAGUGCUUGGGAUAGUUUGGUUGGCUUGGUACUAUGUUACGAUCGAUUGUGGAGCGAGGACAGUGACGUUCCGCGAGCCAGGCCAGAAUGAGUUCCCGUACAGAGGCUGCAGGAGUAAGUUGUUUGCCAUUUGGAUUUCGUCAGUGAGGGCUUGACAGCUGAUGAGUAGAGGAUGCGUCGCUUUUGUUGAGUAUUAUGUGUUGGCAAGUUUCGUGAACUGAGUCAAAGUCUUGAAGGGUUUGGUGCAUAUUGUCGAAGAUUGAAGAAUCCAAGACUUCGAAGAAAUCAGAAAUAUCUCAUGAUAUGAAUCGCGAUGCUCAGGUAAAGUAUAAAUUCAUGUUAUGGUGAUUUAUACUUAGUUAUAUACAUUAGAAUUAUGAAAAUCAAAGUUUAGUGGAUUAGAAAGUGCUUUGGAACUUUGAAACCGGAGAUUGUGAAAUUCUAAAAACUGCAGGUGUUAACCGGUACAACACUGAAAGAGUACCGGUACCGCAGCUAGUUCUGGUACGGCAUCAGCAUGUUAACCGAUUCUCAGUAUAUAGAAUUUUCUGUGUUGUCUUUUGGUACCGGUACCAACUUGAUAUAGUACCGAUACGCAGUGUAAAAAUCUGAAAUCUUUCUAAUCCGACUCUAACUGAUUCUAAGGUCUAUAAAUAAGCUAUUGGGGUUCUCUAACUUAUAGAACAUCACGAGAAUACCUGUUUGAGAAACUCUAGAGGCCAGGAUUUCGUUCUAAACCUAUUUUCUAUAAAGUAGCCUCUUUUAGGUCAAUUCGAGGUAUUGAAAAUUGAUAUCUAUAUGUCGAAUUGAUCUACACUUCGCUUAGAGAUUCUUCUCUGGUUUUCAUCAAUACUCUAAGCGAAGGAUCACCAUAAUCAUGAUGUUCUUCAUAGACGGCGUUGUGGAUUCGGCGUGAUCGAAGGCGGUUCGAGGAUUUGGAUCGUGUGCUCGUGGAUUCGAGUGGCGUUCGUGGAUUCGGGCGUGUGCAUGGCGUUCGUGGAUUCGAACGUGAGGGGGUGGACAACUCAGAGGAUUACGCGAGAUUCAUAGGAGGUUACUGUGGAGUCGGUAAUCACCUUGUAAUCUUUUCUCUUAGUGAAUUAUUUUUUCGCUUGUUGGUCCCGUGGGUUUUUUACUCCAAGUUGGAGUUUUUCCACGUAAAUCUCGGUGUAAUUUUUAUUUUCCGUAUUUAAUUUUUAUCGCAUUGAGAUUUUUGGUUUUUCGCCGUUAUACCUAUUCAUCCCCCUUUAGGUGUUUGAUACAAUCUUUAUAGAUCCUAGGGCUCCUCGUAACUUAUAGCUUUCUUGGCGACUGUAGUAGAAGUGUCUACGGCGGCGCUGGGACCCGAGGAUAUCCUUAUAGUCCGUGAGUUUCCUAAUAUUUUUUCCUUAGAGUUGACGACUAUGCCACCGGAUAGAGAGAUUAAGUUUGUGAUUGACGUAGUUCUUGGAACUGCGCUAAUCUCCAAGGCACCCUACCGAAUGGCACCGGCAGAGCUGAGAGAGCUGAAGGCACAGUUUCAGAAUCUGAUGGAUAAAGAGUAUGUGAGACCCAGUGUAUCGCCUUGGGGAGCGCCGGUAUUGUUUGUAAAGAAGAAUGAUGGUUUACUUAGGUUGUGUGUGGAUUACCGGGAGCUGAAUAAAGUGACCAUUAAGAACAAGUAUCCUUUGCCGCGCAUUGAUAAUCUGCUCGAUCAUCUGCAAGGAUCUUGUGUCUUUUCGAAGAUUGAUCUCCAGUCAGGUUUCCACCAGUUGAGGGUGAAGGCCGAGGAUGUUCCUAAGACUACUAUUCGAACUCGGUACGUGCAUUCUAAGUUCACUGGAAUACCUUUUGGAUUGACGAAUGCCCCUGCCGCAUUUAUGAAUUUGAUGAAUAGAGUGUUUAAGCUGUUCUUGGAUAGAUUUUGGUUGUGUGCUGAUGCAGCAUAGUAGGUUAAUUACUUAUGCUUCUCGAAAAUUAAAGGAUUACGGGAAGAAUUACCCUACGCAUAACUUGGAACUUGACGCGGUGGUUUUUGCUUUGAAGUUUUUGCAGCACUACUUGUAUAGCGAGCACUGUGAGGUUUUCACUGAUCAUAAAAGUCUCAAGUAUUUGUUCACCCAAAAGGAGUUGAAUCUGAGGCAACGCCGGUGGUUGAAGUUAUUGAAGGACUAUGAUGUUAGUAUUCAGUAUCACCCAGGCAAGGCGAACAUGGAGGCAGAUGUGUUGAGCAGAAAGUCAGUGCAGAGCUUGAGCAUGUUGAUUACUAAGCAGAGGCCGUUACUUGAGGAGCUGCAGCGGUUGAGACUCGAGGUAGUGUCCUCUAGGUCUACUGCAAGACUGAUGUUUAUGGUCUUGCAGCCCACUCUGUUAUACAGGAUCAGGGAGAAACAGAGUGGAGACUCUCACUUGUUGAGGAUUCGAGAGCAGUUGGAGAGGGGACAGACAGAGUCUUUUUUUAUGGACAGUUCGGGAGUACUGCGAUACAAGGACCGACUGUGUGUGCCUAUGGAUUCAGAGAUCCGAGAGAAAAUUUUGAGAGAGGCUCAUUACUCACCUUAUACAGUUCACCCUGGUGGAACCAAGAUGUAUAAGGACUAGAAGGCACACUUUUGGUGGAAUGGAAUGAAGAGGAAUAUUGGCAGAUUUGUAGCUUAGUGUCUGACUUAUCAACAGGUAAAGGCAGAGCAUCAGAUACUUGCUGACAAGCUCCAGAGUCUGCCAGUGCCCGAGUGAAAAUGGGAGUAGAUUACGAUGAACUUUGUCGUGGGAUUGCCGAGAACAUAGGGUGUUUUCGAUGCUGUUUCGGUGAUAGUGGACAGACUGACUAAGUCUGCUCACUUCCUACCAGUAUAGACCACCUGGUCCAGGGAGAGACUCGCUCAGCUAUAUUUGGAUGAGAUUGUGAGGAUGCAUAGUGUGCCUACUUCGAUAAUAUCGGAUAGAGACCCGAGGUUGGUUUCGCACUUUUGGAUGAGUCUUCAGACAGCCUUGGGUACACAAUUGCAUUUAAGCACGGCGUUUCACCCACAGACAGAUGGUCAGUCAGAGCGGACCAUUCUGACUCUGGAAGACAUGCAGAGGGCAUGUGUCCUGAACUUUGGAGGAGGGUUGUAUCGACAUUUGAGAUUGGCUGAGUUCGCGUACAACAACCGCUGUCAAACGAGCAUUCGGAUGGCUCCAUUUGAGGUGUUGUAUGGAACUAGGUGUCGAUCCUCUUUGCAUUGGAGUGAUGUGGGUGAGAGGAUCUGAGACCUGAGAUUCUGAUAGAGGCAGAGGAAAAGGUUAAGAUUGUAUGACGACAUAUUUUGGCAGCCCAGAGUUGACAAAGGAACUACGCCGAUACUAGGAGACGAGACUUAAAGUAUCAGGUUGGAGACCAUGUGUUUUUGAAAGUCUCGUCAUCCCGAGGGAUACACAGAUUAGGGGUACGUGGAAAGCUCAGUCCACACUUUGUAGCCCCUUUCGAGGUAUUGGAGCGAGUUGGACCAGUAGCAUAUAGGAUUGCUCCACCCCCACGACUAGCCGGUGUUCAUGAUAUUUUUCACGUCUUAGUAUUGAGGAGAUACGUGUUCAACCCCUCACACGUGAUUGACUUCACUCCACUGGAGCUUGGCGAGGAUUUGAGAUACGAGGAGCGACCGGUGCUGAUUCUGGCUCGUUAGACGAAAGAAUUACGCAAUCGGGUCAUCCCGUAUGUAAAAGUGCAAUGGAGCAAACACGAGGAGUAUGAAGCGAGAGCCGGAGACGGUGAUGCAGAAGUCCUACCCUUUCUGAUUGAGAUAUACGUUAAGUUUCGAGGACGAAACUUUUUAUAGUGGGGGAGGAUGUAGUAUCCCUGAUUUUUGGGUUGCCCGUGGAUCUCAACAUCUGAGGCUUAUCGACAUAUCUGGAGAGUGUCGGAACAAGUCAGAGUCGUUUUGGCACGAAAUGGACGCAAAACGGACUCAGCGUGACGUGAGAGUAGUGUAUUGACAUUGGAAUCUGCAAAGUGCAGGUUUUCAGUAUUGAGUAUCGAUACCGCGCAGGAGAGUACGGUACCCCAGUGUAAAUCCUGGACAGCAUGCUCUCGGGUUCCGCCAAUUGAUGUUGAGUACCGGUACAGCAUCGGGCUGGUAUCGGUACCUGGUGUGCGAGCUUGUGGGCUGAGAGGCCGAGUACCGAUAAACAAAUCGGGUACCGGUACUCCAGCUAGAAUUUUGAGUUGGUAAGGGGUAUUUUGGGUAGAGAUAUGUCGAUACCUUCAAUCUUAUCCCAAUCGCUUUAUAUUUGUGUAGAGAUGCAGAGAGUGAGCUUCUGGUUGCUACUUCCUCUCUCUCUCUAGUUGGAGUCGACACUCGGGGUGGAGUCGCGGCUCGAGCUUGGGAGUUUGUCGCCGUUGCGCCGGAGGGUCAUUCGAGCGUGUAGGCAUCGCGGUUGCGUCGUUGGAGACCGGGCUAGCGCGUGUUUUUCCUCCUUUUGACUUCUCGCCGUAGUUGAACAAGCUUUUCGAGGUGGUUUGAUGUUUACCGAACUCGUCGGAUUUUCUUCUAAGUUUUAUCAACGUCAACAUGUGUUUCUUGGUUCAUUGGUUUAUCCUGCUAGUACUCGAAUUCAUGGAAGUUAUAGGUUAUGCUAUAGAAUCUGAAUUUGGAGAUAAGCUAGUAAUUACGCUUGUUGGACUUGGAAUUGACUUAGGAAAACACUUGUAGAUCCUACAUUGUCAUUUCUGAAAAUUACCAGAUUUAGCUUUAGGAGCUAUUGUUCGUUUGUAUCGCCGUUGUUUGUAUACGAUGGAUACCUAGAUUAGUGUAGGGUGAGUUUACGCUCGUGCUGGGAUGCCAAACUUAUUUUACAGUAGUGUGUAGACUGUUUUGGACUGUCGGUGCCGUCGGGGUUGACGGUGGACCCAGAUUUCUGUAUCAUCGCUGUUAGUGCGAGGUGGAUACUCAGAUGGGUGUAGGUUGAGUUUACACUCACGCUAUGGAGCCGAGUGUGUUGUUACAAUAGAGUUAGACUGUGUUGGAUAGUCGGGUGCCGUCGGGGUUGACGGUGGACCAGAGUUAUGCGGUUGCAUCAGAUUGUGCCAAGGGCAAGUGAGUUUUGGUGGAUAAAUCAUUUUGGCCCUUUACAGUGAUUACAGCCUGUGAGAGCAUAAAUGAACUUCGCAGAGACACUUGUAAACCUGGUUGGGUCGCGCCCACGAAUGCCAUUCCGGAAUGAGGUUUCAGUGCGAUGAGUGUCGCAGUUUCUGUUGGGACGGUUCUUGAGCUGUAUCAGGCAGGGUGGAUCCGUUUGGGCAGCUCGUGCGAGGUUGGGUCAGUGAAAGUUAGUGACAUCUUUCUCUACCUUCAUUGAGGUUGUGUUGUGUGUUGAGUCGCAGCAGUCCUGUCGGACCUUUUUACUUGGACCGGCUACUCUUGGGAUACGGUGUAGCCUAGAUAGGCGAAAUUGGUGUAUUUACAGUCCCUAGAGAAUUUUCUCCACCGGCUAAUUUUGGGGUGGUAUACGAGUUCGCUUCGAUAGGUGGGAUGAGUGUAUUUACUGUCCCUAGUGAGAUUAUGUCAGUGAGUGCAUUUUCUAUAUCUACAGAUAGUGGUUAGCGAUAGUAUAAUGGUAUAUAGCUAUAGUGUUUUACCAGUAUCAUUUACUAUACUUGUGCAUACUUUCUGUAGACUUAGAGGGUGAGCCGUUGAGGUCGGUAGCAGUAUCCACUGAGAGCUACUUCUUUUUGCAAUAGUUCUCACACCCAGUUGUUGACCCUUUUUGCAGAGCCUUCGUCUGCGGCUGCUGUUGUUACAGAUUCUGAUCGUGUAAAGGGAGUUGCGAGCUAGAUCCUUUCAAGUCUUACUGCAGUGUUAGAGGAGUACAUUCCACAGGUAGUUUUGGAGUAUUUUUGUACAUAUGGUUAUUGUCUGGGUACUCGCUGGAGCGAGUGGUGUAGUAGACAUUUUGUAUGUACUGGAACCCCUCGAGGUUUUUAUAUAUGUAUGUUUAUAGUUUAGCAGCUCUCUACCUUAUGGUUGUAGCUUGGUUAUGUUUACAGGUACAGUUAUCGCUUCGUAUACAGAAAAAAUUUAUGUAUAUGGUGGGUCUGUUGACGUGCCCGGGAAAUGUGUAAUUCGGGAUGUGAUAGACAGUGACGACGAUUCCUUUUGUCAUAGCAGGGGGGGAGGUGGGCAUGCAUUUGUGAAAGAAAUGGAGGGAGGUGAAAGUGUACAGGAAAAGAUAAAGAAGAGAGAAUUGGUAAAUUAAUUGAAAAUAGAGAGUUGGGGAUUAUAGAUAGCAGCGGGCCGUUUGGAUGCAUUUGUCACGCCCCGGGGUCCCUUUUAU